GGUCCAAUAGUGUAGAGGUUAUCACAUGGGAUUCUGAAGAGUAAUUCCCAUGACCCAGGUUCGAGUCCUGGUUGGACCU
This 79-nucleotide transfer RNA is filed under the name Collybiopsis luxurians FD-317 M1. Its description in RNAcentral is "Gymnopus luxurians FD-317 M1 tRNA". It matches the Rfam family "tRNA". From Rfam's summary of the family: Transfer RNA (tRNA) molecules are approximately 80 nucleotides in length. Their secondary structure includes four short double-helical elements and three loops (D, anti-codon, and T loops). Further hydrogen bonds mediate the characteristic L-shaped molecular structure. tRNAs have two regions of fundamental functional importance: the anti-codon, which is responsible for specific mRNA codon recognition, and the 3' end, to which the tRNAs corresponding amino acid is attached (by aminoacyl-tRNA synthetases). tRNAs cope with the degeneracy of the genetic code in two manners: having more than one tRNA (with a specific anti-codon) for a particular amino acid; and 'wobble' base-pairing, i.e. permitting non-standard base-pairing at the 3rd anti-codon position. The record is from Rfam by way of RNAcentral. Lineage: Eukaryota; Fungi; Basidiomycota; Agaricomycetes; Agaricales; Omphalotaceae.